UUUUAAAAUGUCAAUUGUGUUAGUGAUUAAACCAAGAAAGAAGUGUCUAAAUCUAUAAAAUGUUUAAAGAUUUUAGUCACUUAAUAACGAGACAUUAACUUAGUGAAGAUUGAAACAAACGAGCUUGAAAGGUUUUAAAGCUAUUACACAAUGUCCUCUACCCGUAUACUCCACGUUUAUACAUUUUGAAUGUAUGAAGUGAUUUCUCAUUAAAGUCAUGAGAAAUAGUGGGAGGUGUGAAAAUGGAUAUAAACUCAAAUAUGAUUGGUUUAUAGUUGUCUAAAGAAUAAUAGUACUUGACUAUUAUUAAGAUUUUGUAAUUUUAAUUGUUAAAGGACUCAAGCUCUUCAAACGUUAAAAUUCUAUGUUGUGUAACAUUCUAAAGAAUAGUCUUUGAAUGUUAGUUUCGUCAACCUAACAUAAAAUGGUUAUAUGUUGAGAGUUGUCCAUCAUUCUCUUUUAUGAGAACAAGCUAAUAACAAAGCCCAUGAACAAAUUUGAUGAAACAAAAGGGAAUAGUUUCAAAAUGAGUCACAACAUAUAGUUUAACAACAAGACAAUCCAAAUUCAACAUCUUAUGUAACUAUAACGCUCUAUGUAGUUUUGAUAAAGAAUUAUAUCAACCACUUGGAAGGAAUGGUUGAGUUUCUAUAUCCUUAGUAGGAGCCAUACUUCCACUAAAGACUUGGAUAAUUCUUAUAUUACUACAUUAAAGGUCUUAGUAUGACUAAAACUUGUAGUAUGGUGUAUGACAC
This 755-nucleotide long non-coding RNA is filed under the name Malus domestica (apple). RNAcentral's name for it is "long non-coding RNA (MDOM_LNC013101)". The record is from RNAcentral. Lineage: Eukaryota; Viridiplantae; Streptophyta; Magnoliopsida; Rosales; Rosaceae.